This 657-nucleotide ribosomal RNA is filed under the name uncultured Trichoderma. RNAcentral's name for it is "eukaryotic LSU rRNA". The stretch from base 269 to 422 matches the Rfam family "5.8S ribosomal RNA". Lineage: Eukaryota; Fungi; Ascomycota; Sordariomycetes; Hypocreales; Hypocreaceae. The record is from RNAcentral.
CUUGGUCAUUUAGAGGAAGUAAAAGUCGUAACAAGGUCUCCGUUGGUGAACCAGCGGAGGGAUCAUUACCGAGUUUACAACUCCCAAACCCAAUGUGAACGUUACCAAACUGUUGCCUCGGCGGGAUCUCUGCCCCGGGUGCGUCGCAGCCCCGGACCAAGGCGCCCGCCGGAGGACCAACCAAAACUCUUUUUGUAUACCCCCUCGCGGGUUUUUUAUAAUCUGAGCCUUCUCGGCGCCUCUCGUAGGCGUUUCGAAAAUGAAUCAAAACUUUCAACAACGGAUCUCUUGGUUCUGGCAUCGAUGAAGAACGCAGCGAAAUGCGAUAAGUAAUGUGAAUUGCAGAAUUCAGUGAAUCAUCGAAUCUUUGAACGCACAUUGCGCCCGCCAGUAUUCUGGCGGGCAUGCCUGUCCGAGCGUCAUUUCAACCCUCGAACCCCUCCGGGGGGUCGGCGUUGGGGAUCGGCCCUGCCUCUUGGCGGUGGCCGUCUCCGAAAUACAGUGGCGGUCUCGCCGCAGCCUCUCCUGCGCAGUAGUUUGCACACUCGCAUCGGGAGCGCGGCGCGUCCACAGCCGUUAAACACCCAACUUCUGAAAUGUUGACCUCGGAUCAGGUAGGAAUACCCGCUGAACUUAAGCAUAUCAAUAAGCGGAGGA